RNAcentral lists this transfer RNA (91 nucleotides) under Prevotella sp. CAG:592. RNAcentral describes it as "transfer RNA-Ser(GGA)". It matches the Rfam family "tRNA". Rfam says of the family: Transfer RNA (tRNA) molecules are approximately 80 nucleotides in length. Their secondary structure includes four short double-helical elements and three loops (D, anti-codon, and T loops). The record is from RNAcentral. RNAcentral also lists the same sequence under 1 other name. Lineage: Bacteria; Pseudomonadati; Bacteroidota; Bacteroidia; Bacteroidales; Prevotellaceae.
GGAAAGGUGCUCGAGUGGCUGAAGAGGCACGCCUGGAAAGCGUGUAUACGUCAAAAGCGUAUCGGGGGUUCGAAUCCCCCUCUUUCCGCUA